AAUCUGCCGCAAUGUACGAAAGGCUGACGUAGCAACGCCUCGUGAGUGAUGAAGGUUUUCUGUUCGUAAAACACUGUUGUUAGGGAAGAACAUGUAUCGAAGUCACUGCCGGUACCUUGACGGUACCGGACGAUAAAGCCACGGCUAACUACCGGCCAGCAGCCCCGGUAAUACGUAGGUGGCAAGCUUUGUCCGGAUUUAUUGGGCGUAAAGCGCGCGCAGGCGGUCUUUUAAGUCUGAUGUGAAAUCUUACAGCUUAACUGUAAGCGGUCAUUGGAAACUGGGAGACUUGAGUGCAGAAGAGGAGAGUGGAAUUCCAUGUGUAGCGGUGAAAUGCGUAGAGAUAUGGAGGAACACCAGUGGCGAAGGCGACUCUCUGGUCUGUAACUGACGCUGAGGUGCGAAAGCGUGGGGAUCAAACA
This 422-nucleotide ribosomal RNA is filed under the name uncultured bacterium. RNAcentral's name for it is "partial 16S ribosomal RNA". It matches the Rfam family "Bacterial small subunit ribosomal RNA", at positions 360 to 774 of the family's 1533-position model. The record is from RNAcentral.